This 245-nucleotide ribosomal RNA is filed under the name uncultured bacterium. RNAcentral describes it as "partial 16S ribosomal RNA". It matches the Rfam family "Bacterial small subunit ribosomal RNA", at positions 524 to 768 of the family's 1533-position model. The record is from RNAcentral.
GACAGAGGGUGCAAGCGUUGUUCGGAAUUAUUGGGCGUAAAGCGCACGUAGGCGGCUUCGCAAGUCGGAUGUGAAAUCCCAGGGCUUAACCGUGGAAGUGCAUCCGAAACUGCGUUGCUUGAGUGCCGGAGAGGGUGGUGGAAUUCCCAGUGUAGAGGUGAAAUUCGUAGAUAUUGGGAGGAACACCUGUGGCGAAGGCGGCCACCUGGACGGACACUGACGCUGAGGUGCGAAAGCGUGGGGAG